GUGACGAGUCUACGUGUGUCACUCCUAGCAGUGGCAAGUCUCUAGGCACCAUCAUGGCGUGGUGCCCUAGGGCCGCCGGGGGGACGUUCCUCCCUGGACGCGGCUCUUUGGGGUCGCGCCCGCGACCACCCUGAGGCCCGAAAUUGGCAAGAAACUGAAUCGAAGACGUCCCAAGCCUCCCUGGAAACCGGCAAGUGUGCAGGUCCUUUAAGCCCACGAGGAAGCUGUAACGUUGUAAGAUCUUGUGGCUCACCAAAAGCAGAUUUAACUACAACUACAUGAAAUGGACAAGGACACAAAACCAGAAUCAGCAGCUGCUGUCAGCAUCUUUAUGGAUUCCUAAGGUGACUAUGGGCUGUAAAUCCUUUUUCAUACAUUGGGUCUCCAAAGAAGUUGAUAAAUCUUAAUUUUAUAUUCCUGUUGAAUUCCACAAGUAAUCAAAGGUCUAUAUGGAAGAAAAGCUAUUAAAAGGCUUUGGACUUGGGUGAUAAGUGGUUUUAGAUUGUUGAGCUCUCCAGAAGGGCACAGUCAUCUGUAAUUUUAUCUGUUGUCUGUUAUGGAUUCUGUGUAUUAAAAAAAUUAUAUAUAAAACAAA
This is a long non-coding RNA of Vombatus ursinus (common wombat), 595 nucleotides long. RefSeq lists it as uncharacterized. Lineage: Eukaryota; Metazoa; Chordata; Mammalia; Diprotodontia; Vombatidae. The transcript has 4 exons. The record is from RefSeq and is a predicted model, not a curated record.